CCAUAUGGCACCGAGCUGUUUCUGAUGAAGAAGAACUAUUUUUUCUUUUUUUCCAUAGACGAAUUGCCGGAAAUGGUGGAACGUGAAAAUCGAUGAUUUUCCGUCUAAGGUGCUACUUCUCAUAUUUCGUCUUUCAAUGUUUCUUUUUUCUAAACUUAUUGUUACAUCAUUAAAGUUAUAAUCAUUUAGAGAGUUCUAGCCAAAAGUUUGAUUUCUUUGACUUGCUUGCAUUUUUUCCUUUCAUCUUUGCCUCUAGUCCAGACAUAGUGGAAACUGGAAAGUUGAAAGUAUUCCAAUUUUGGGUUUUUCUUGGAAGACACUUUACAAUGGUUUUUUUUUUUUUUUUGCAGUUUAAAAUGUGGGGUUUUGAUUUUUGAAGACAUAAUUAUAAUAAUGAGAAUUGGUCAUGGUGACCUAAUCAAUUGCUUUCUACUUUUAUAUGAUUGGAAGCUCUGAAUUCAGUCUAAACUGAUGUCAUUUUGAACCAAAUGUGACCUCAUCUUUAUUGUUUAAAGUAAAGAUCACUGGUUAUCAUCUGGGAAUCAAAACAAGCAUGUGAAUUGUGAUAUUGUUUCAUUAGGAAUGUUGUUAGUGCAAGUGCUAGCUUUUUUUAGCUCGGGGGCAUUUGUUAUGGCUAGAUGUGGGAUGUUCAUUAGGCAACAUGUUUAAAGUUGUGUGGAGCAUUGCAAUUUGUGAUGAAGGGGCUGGAGGUGAAGCUUUAUCAAGAAAAAAAAAAAGAAAUAUUAGGCUUUGUUCGGUAGACUGGAAACUAGAAAGAAAAUUGGAAAGAUGGAAAACAGAAAAAUAGAAUUUCUUGUUUUUUUUUAUUUCUAUUGGUGCACUUGGUAGUAAAGAUGAAAAAUGAGAGGAAAGAAAUGAGACUUUUGGAAAAUGCAUAAUUUUGAACUAAUUUAUAUCUCAUUUUCAUUACCUCUUCGCUUAUCAUUCCAAUUUGGAAUGAUUUGUUUUUAUGCGUUAGGACGGAAAAUGAUCAUAUCUCUUUUUUCUUUCCUCUCACUUCUCUUUCAUACCAAGCAUAAUCAAAAUUUAUUCACUUUUCUACUCCCUCUUUACAUCUUUCCACUUUAACACUUAACCUCACACUCCCUUAAUCUUUAGGUAUAGGAAGCCAUAUUAGAUAGUAGUAGUUAUUUUCUGGCCAAAAUGGUAUUAUGAAUUUGACUUUCCUUUGCUACAUUUGUCUUAAAUCCUUUCUGGUCAUCCUAAUUUUUGCUUAUUUGGUAUGUAAGAACUAAAUUUCCUGGAUCGCUGAUCUUGGUGUAAGAACCAAAGUAAUCAUCAUCAUAAAUCAAAGGUUCUAUGUAAACCGAAAACCAUCAGUUUGUCUGUACUUGUAUUAACUAUUUGAUUUUGGUUUCAUGAAGUGACAGCAUGUGUUAGGUAACAUUGCUUAAUAUGGAGGCUUUGGGGACAUUAUGCCCUUUAUUUGUGAAUUGUGAAUAUAGAAGGGAAUAAAAAUAUAUAUAGGUCUUCUAGUAGAGUUCUUAAAGUGUUAAAAUAACUUAGCAAGAGAGCUAGAUGACAGAGUCUUAGGAAUUUCAGCCUGUAACUACAUUCUUCAACAACCAAGAUUUAAAACCGUGUGUUUUUAGCUAUUUUUGAAUACCUUAGGCCCGGUUGGCAUUUUGAUGAUACCAAUAUUAGUUCUUGUUCACAUUCUGUGCUAUUGAAAUCCAAACGUUGUCAUCUUAGAGUGACACAAAUUUCUUUCUAGUCUCCAAUAUGUUUUGUCCACCCACUUGUUCCUGUUGUCUCAUAUUUGAAUGCCGAUUAACUUCAAAACAUUAUUAUGAAGGGAAUUAACUUUCGGCUGAAUUUCAAGGGGAUGGUGGGUCUACCAGUCACUUUCUCAUUGAGACAGAAAUAAAGGAAAGCAGAAUCUUAGAUUGCUCACUUGGCAGCACCUAAGGUGGGAGACACAACUGGUCCACUCUUGCUGACCCCAAAGCCUACAAUGAUUUUUCAGUCAAAAACACUUCUCCUAAUAGGAAAGAUAGUUGGCUUUUCCAUUAGCGUUAAUUAAAUAGUAGAAGUACAUCAUCAUGGUCAAACUCCUCAUCAAAAGCUCAAAGAAACCUCUAGUGUAUCCAUUUCUCUGCUUAUAGAAUUUGCUAAGUGUUGUUACAGUUUUAAGAAUAAAAAAAUCAUCCAUUUUAUAAUCUGUUAACAAGAACCCCUUUUUUUGUGGGUUGGAGAGAGGGGGUGCUCUAGUUUAAUAUGUGCAACUUGGUGAGUGUAUUCUUUGAGCAUUCAAAAAAGUGUGUUCGUGAGGGAGAUGCUAAGUAAGCUGUUUCUACACAUUGAAGGGUGAUAUGAUACUUGUCAGAGAUCUAAUAGCAGAAGUAGUGUAGUGAUAAAGAAGCAAUUCAUUGAUAAUUUCUAUCAUCCCUGGGAUGGUUGAGUUCCCUUGCAGAUUUGAGAUUUAAUGGAGGAUUAAAAUAGGCAUUGUUCUUUGAGCAUGUGAAACAAAUUCUUUCUGCAAAGUUCAUAGUCUUCUAAAUCCUUUUCUUAAAACACUAAGCAAUAAAUUUUCUAAGAUGAAAUUCUCUUCAGUAAGAAAUGAUAAUUUAGAUUAAAGAGUUCCCAAUUUGUGUAAUACCAAUAGUUCCUAUCAUUUAUGAUAUCUAUCCUUAUUUAUCUUGUUUACAAGCUUUGCUUGUUUAGCCAUAAUAUCUGCAUGUAAGCUAAAUCUUAGUUUGGAAUGCUAAAAUUACUUGUUUUUUUUUUUUUUGUACUGUCAAGCCAUAUGACUAGUAUUAUCUAUGACUUAAGUUUCAACUUUCUACCAGAGAAUAUAUUUUGAGGUUGGUUAACACACCUUAAUCGAAGAUUAGAUCUGUGCCAAGUUCUGCAUUUUUUAACACCCUUUCAGUGCCUUUGUAUUGUUUAUUUUACUGCCCAAAAUGCAACAUGCUCCUUUUCUAUUAGACUUAUUUUUGUAUGGUUGUUUGUGUUUAUGUGCAAGUUCAAUGCUCUUAUUGCAUUCUCAUGUUUGAAUUAUGAAAAACGACAUUAAUUUAGUAUUUUACUGUUACUCUAUUUAAAAUGUGAAAAGAGCUCACCAAAAUCCUCAACAUAUAAUUUUCUAGGAACUAUGUUUGUCUUGAGUUUCUUGAAAAGAAAAGGCUUUUACUGGUUGCACUGAAGAAAUUAUAGUGUAGGAUGAAAUGUUUCUAAAUUCCAACAAGAAAACUUUCAGUAUUUUACAAAUCUUUGUAUUGAGCAAUAGUGAAGAUUUUCAGGUUAUCUGUUAUCAUCAAUGAAAACCCUAAUGAAAGCAUCCCUCUGUACCUCUCUGCAUUAGCCUGAGCUCUUCACUGUGUGCUUUUGGUUUGCCCUACCUGCAUAUGAUAUUUUGAAAAGGAUAGUUUUGGUCAGAAAUACAAUUUCCACUGUCAUAUUAGGCACUCAUGGAAGCUCAUUUGUGCCAGGAACAGCAUUGAGUUGGACAAGAUGGAGGACCUAAUAUGAGAUUCUACUUUGCACCAGAAUGAUAAACUGAGGAUCAUGAGUAAAAAUAAAAAGAUGAAGUUGUACAGAAAGGGCAGUUUAAAUAAAUUUUUACAUAAUUUGUAGCAAGGCUGCUUGAGCGCCGGAUCAUCAUUUGGUGUUGGAGGAUCCUGACCGAAAAUCAUCUCGCA
Molecule: long non-coding RNA, 3662 nt
Filed under: Gossypium barbadense (sea-island cotton)
Lineage: Eukaryota; Viridiplantae; Streptophyta; Magnoliopsida; Malvales; Malvaceae
Description: long non-coding RNA (GBAR_LNC018164)
Source: RNAcentral